GCCAAAUCCCUGUCCUCUCUCGCUCUGUGCGAUUUCGAGAGAGCGAGUCCACCAUGGAAAUGGCUAUUUCCUUCAAUACUUCCUCUUCCUUCUCCACCUCAAACCGUAACUCCAGAACUCUUCUCUCUUCUUCUUCUUCUACUUCUUCUUCUUCUUCUUCUUCUUCUUCUCUUCCACUUUCUAAGCAACUCUCUGGUCUCCGACUAUCUCCAAUUACAUUUUCCGCCGCCAAAACUUCUCUCAAUUUCCGUCGGAGAGACCCUACUCGGCGAGCUCCGAUCAAAUGCUCCGUCACCGAAGCCACAGAAACCGCCGCUGAGAAGAAGAGCCAAUUGAUGAGGAGAAGAGAUAUAAGGAAUAUAGCGAUUGUGGCUCAUGUUGAUCAUGGAAAGACAACUUUAGUCGAUUCUAUGUUGAAGCAAGCCAAGGUGUUCCGUGAUAACCAAUUUGUGCAAGAAAGAAUAAUGGACUCAAAUGAUUUAGAAAGGGAAAGGGGUAUUACUAUUCUAAGCAAAAAUACGUCUAUCACUUAUAAGGAUACAAAAAUUAAUAUAAUUGAUACUCCUGGGCACUCCGACUUUGGAGGCGAAGUGGAACGUAUCCUCAAUAUGGUGGAAGGGGUUCUCCUAGUGGUAGAUUCUGUUGAGGGUCCAAUGCCACAAACAAGAUUUGUUUUGAAGAAAGCUCUAGAAUUUGGCCAUGCUGUUGUUGUCGUCGUCAAUAAGAUUGAUAGACCCUCAGCUCGUCCAGAUUACGUCAUUAAUUCCACCUUUGAACUUUUUAUUGAACUUAAUGCGACAGACGAACAGUGCGAUUUUCAAGCAAUAUAUGCUAGUGGUAUCAAAGGAAAGGCAGGUUUAUCCCCUGAUAAUUUGGCAGAAGAUCUUGGGCCACUUUUUGAGGCAAUAAUCAGAUGCAUACCAGGACCACGUAUUGAAAAAGAUGGUGCCCUUCAAAUGCUUGUUACGAAUAUUGAAUAUGAUGAACACAAAGGACGAAUCGCUAUUGGACGUGUGCAUGCUGGGACUUUGCAGAGAGGCAUGGAUGUGAGAGUAUGCACCUCAGAAGAUUCAUGUAGAUAUGCAAGAGUAAGUGAACUUUUCGUGUAUGAAAAGUUCAGUAGGGCUCCAGCGGAUACUGUGGAAGCUGGUGACAUCUGUGCUGUUUGUGGAAUUGAUGAUAUUCAGAUUGGUGAGACGAUAGCUUGUAAAUCAUCUGGCAAGCCGUUACCUGCUAUUAAGGUGGAAGAGCCAACUGUGAAAAUGGCGUUCUCCAUAAACACUUCUCCAUUUGUUGGUCGUGAGGGAAAGUAUGUUACCAGUAGGAACUUACGAGAUCGGCUUUACCGUGAGCUCGAGCGUAAUUUGGCUAUGAAAGUUGAAGAUGGUGAAACUGCAGAUACAUUCAUUGUUAGUGGGCGUGGUACCUUACACAUUACCAUACUGAUAGAAAACAUGCGAAGGGAAGGUUAUGAAUUCAUGGUGGGACCUCCCAAAGUCAUAAACAAAAAAGUGAAUGACCAGUUGCUGGAACCAUUUGAGAUUGCCACAGUGGAGGUGCCAGAAGAACACAUGGGAUCAGUGGUAGAGCUUCUUGGCAAAAGACGAGGUCAAAUGUUUGAUAUGCAAGGAGUUGGGUCGGAAGGCACCACCCUGCUUAAAUACAAGAUUCCAACCCGUGGUCUUCUCGGUCUUCGGAAUGCAAUACUAACAGCUUCUCGAGGGACUGCAAUUCUCAAUACGAUAUUUGAUAGCUACGGGCCCUGGGCUGGUGAUAUCAGUACCCGGGAUCAGGGCUCACUGGUUGCUUUCGAAGAUGGAACAAGCACAUCUUAUGCUCUUUCCAGUUCACAAGAGAGAGGGCAGAUGUUUAUUGGUCCCGGAGUGGAUGUUUAUAAAGGUCAGAUUGUUGGAAUCCAUCAACGGCCUGGGGACUUGGCACUUAACGUCUGCAAGAAAAAGGCCGCAACAAAUAUACGUUCAAACAAAGAACAAACAGUCAUUCUUGAUACACCAUUGGACUAUAGUCUGGACGACUGCAUUGAGUACAUCCAAGAAGAUGAACUUGUAGAAGUGACACCCUUGAGCAUUCGCAUGUGCAAAAACCCUAAGAUGGCAAAGAAAUCAAGGUAGACGAAUAUAUAGACAAUAUCGAUGUCAACUUUUCGCAACGAUCGCUCGGGAACUUAAUAGCUUCCUCAUUGAAUCCACAUACUUAUAGCAGAUAGAUUCAAAACUCUGCGUAGCUGUUCCCUUUUAUGCAUCGAAAUUCUAGAGCAUUAAAAGGGUAAGUAGGAUUUUGCAAUCUUGGUGAUAUACAAAGGGCAGCCAUCAAAAUUGUACUAGUACAAAAUUAUUCAUUGUUUAUAAGACCAAAAUGCCAUAUAUUUCCUACUGGCAACAAGUCAAAUGAGAAGGCUGGUGGACUUGAGCUUGCAAAUGCAAAAUUAGGGGAGCACAAGUCCUGUCUGCAGGCGUGCUAUGUAGACCAACUAGUGGGGCCCACCAUCAAACCAAGAUUGGUUCUCAUCGAAAAGGUUCCUUUGAGUUUUUAGAACAAGUCGUGGAUGAAUCUUUCCAACUACAACUAAUUUUGGAAGACUUUUUAUUAUUAUUAUUAUUUU
This is an RNA transcript of Morus notabilis, 2623 nucleotides long. It is a transcript of the gene named putative elongation factor TypA-like SVR3, chloroplastic, with no coding region annotated. The transcript is spliced from 15 exons. The record is from RefSeq and is a predicted model, not a curated record. Lineage: Eukaryota; Viridiplantae; Streptophyta; Magnoliopsida; Rosales; Moraceae.